CCUACGGGAGGCAGCAGUGGGGAAUAUUGCACAAUGGGGGGAACCCUGAUGCAGCGACGCCGCGUGAGUGAAGAAGUAAUUCGUUACGUAAAGCUCUAUCAGCAGGGAAGAAACACUGACCUUCCGGUCAGCAAACGGUACCUGAGUAAGCAGCCCCGGCUCACUACGUGCCAGCAGCGGCGGUAAUACGUAGGGGGCAAGCGUUAUCCGGAUUUACUGGGUGUAAAGGGAGCGUAGACGGUGCGCCAAGUGUGGAGUGAAAGGCCGCAGCUUAACUGCGGAACUGCUGUGGAAACUGGCGAACUAGAGUGCGGGAGGGGUAAGCGGAAUUCCUAGUGUAGCGGUGAAAUGCGUAGAUAUUAGGAGGAACACCGGUGGCGAAGGCGGCUUACUGGACUGUAACUGACGUUGAGGCUCGAAGGCGUGGGGAGCAAACAGGAUUAGAUACCCCUGUAGUC
Molecule: ribosomal RNA, 458 nt
Filed under: uncultured bacterium
Lineage: Bacteria
Description: partial 16S ribosomal RNA
Rfam family: Bacterial small subunit ribosomal RNA
Source: RNAcentral